Molecule: ribosomal RNA, 253 nt
Filed under: uncultured Acidobacteriota bacterium
Lineage: Bacteria; Pseudomonadati; Acidobacteriota
Description: uncultured Acidobacteria bacterium partial 16S ribosomal RNA
Rfam family: Bacterial small subunit ribosomal RNA
Source: RNAcentral
UACGGGGGGGGCAAGCGUUGUUCGGAAUUACUGGGCGUAAAGGGCGCGUAGGCGGCCGCCUAAGUCGGACGUGAAAUCCCUCGGCUCAACUGAGGAACUGCGUCCGAGACUGGGUGGCUUGAAUCCGGGAGAGGGAUGUGGAAUUCCAGGUGUAGCGGUGAAAUGCGUAGAUAUCUGGAGGAACACCGGUGGCGAAGGCGGCAUCCUGGACCGGAAUUGACGCUGAGGCGCGAAAGCCAGGGGAGCAAACGGG